This 934-nucleotide long non-coding RNA is filed under the name Pan troglodytes (chimpanzee). RNAcentral describes it as "lncRNA (ENSPTRG00000053504.1)". The record is from RNAcentral. Lineage: Eukaryota; Metazoa; Chordata; Mammalia; Primates; Hominidae.
CUGAGUCCCGCAUCUGCUUCUUAGAAGGUGAGGGGCACUGGCAGGCUGGGGAAGCUGGGCCGAGCAGGGAAAAUGGGUCCUGGGUGAGAGGGCAGCCUCGGUCAGAAGAGUUUCCUGGGCCAGGACUGGCCAUGGGGAAGGGUAGGGUUGGGACAAGAGUCGGGGGCCCUCUUCCCUCACGGCCACUCUUUCAGGUAUCUGGAGCAACCUGUAUGCAGCCAACCUCCAGGACAGCUUAUACUGGGCCUCAGAGCCCAGCCAGUUCUGGGACCGCUGGGUCAGGAACCACGCCAACCUGGACAAGGAGCAGGUCCCCCUUCUGAAGAUAGAAGAACCACCCUCAACAGCCGGCAGGAUAGCUGAGUUUUUCACCGAUCUUCUGACGUGGCGUCCACUGGCCCAGGCCACACAUAAUUUCCUGCGUGGCCUCCAUUUCCACAAAGACUACUUUCAGCAUCCUCACUUCUCCACAUGGAAAGGUACCUGCUUCUCUCCAAAGUCCUCCUGUGGCCACCUGAGCCUUGAGUCCCCAGUCCAGAUACCCCUCACAGUCCCCUCCCAUUCUCCUGCUUUGAGCUUGAUUCCCUGGACUACUUGGAACAGGGGUCUUUUUCUCCUUGUCUUGGGGACCCAGGGCCCACCUGCGGGGCUGUGGGGGUGUUGGUUCAGCAGGAGAGCAGGGACCAGAGGCCAGAGUCUCUCCUUCCAGCAGGAAUCUGGUACCCUUGGUAUCUGUGACAAUUGCUGCUCUCCCCAACCUUCCAGCUACCACUCUGGAUGGGCUCCCCAACCAGCUGACACCCUCGGAGCCCCACCUGUGCCUGCUGGAUGUUGGCUACCUCAUCAAUACCAGCUGCCUGCCCCUCCUGCAGCCCACUCGGGACGUGGACCUCAUCCUGUCAUUGGACUACAACCUCCACGGAGCCUUCCAGGU